UUUAGUAAAGAGUUCUAGCGUAAAAACCUACGUUUUAGGACAAAAAUUAAGAAAUUGUCCUCGUCAAUUCGCAUCCAAAAGGUUUCUUCAGACACUUACAUCAAGCAAAGAUUGAAUUUUUUCAGAAUAUUCAGCAAUUUUGGUCAAUGUUUGAGCACGUUUCGUAGAAGUCACAUUUUUUAUAGAAGAAGCAAGUUUUGGAGGUACAAAAAGUUGAGGUUCACCCGAUGACGCAACAGAUGUACGGUUGGUCCCAGUCUUUCCUACAGCUCCUAAAACAGUGUGACAAUUUAUAGUUAACUAAAUACUCGAUAAAAGAAAGUGCUUUUGCCAGCAGAUUAAUGCAUUAAAAAAUUAUAAAACUGUCAAA
Xenia sp. Carnegie-2017 is the source of this 370-nucleotide long non-coding RNA. RefSeq lists it as uncharacterized. The transcript has 3 exons. Lineage: Eukaryota; Metazoa; Cnidaria; Anthozoa; Malacalcyonacea; Xeniidae. The record is from RefSeq and is a predicted model, not a curated record.